This 255-nucleotide ribosomal RNA is filed under the name uncultured bacterium. RNAcentral describes it as "partial 16S ribosomal RNA". It matches the Rfam family "Bacterial small subunit ribosomal RNA", at positions 57 to 305 of the family's 1533-position model. The record is from RNAcentral.
GCAAGUCGAACGAGGAAGGAUUACAGCUUGCUUUAAUUGUCAGCUAAGUGGCGCACGGGUGAGUAAUAUAUAGGUAACGUGCCUUCAAGAAGGGGAUAACAAUUGGAAACGAUUGCUAAUACCCUAUAUGCCUUUAAGUCUUAAGACUGCAAGGGAAAUAUUUAUAGCUUGAAGAUCGGCCUGUACAGUAUCAGGUAGUUGGUGAGGUAAUGGCUCACCAAGACAAUGACGCGUAGCUGGUUUGAGAGGAUGAUC